AGAGCGAACGCUGGCGGCAGGCCUAAUACAUGCAAGUCGAGCGGUCCCUUCGGGGGCAGCGGCGGACGGGUGAGUAACGCGUGGGAACGUGCCCUUUGGUACGGAACAACUGAGGGAAACUUCAGCUAAUACCGUAUGUGCCCUUCGGGGGAAAGAUUUAUCGCCAUUGGAGCGGCCCGCGUUGGAUUAGGUAGUUGGUGAGGUAAAGGCUCACCAAGCCUACGAUCCAUAGCUGGUCUGAGAGGAUGAUCAGCCACACUGGGACUGAGACACGGCCCAGACUCCUACGGGAGCAGCAGUAGGGAAUCUUGCGCAAUGGGCGAAAGCCUGACGCAGCCAUGCCGCGUGAAUGAUGAAGGUCUAGGAUUGUAAAUUCUUCACCGGGACAUAAUGACGUACCGGAGAAGAACGCCCGGACUAACUUCGCGCCAGCAGCCGAC
Molecule: ribosomal RNA, 440 nt
Filed under: uncultured soil bacterium
Lineage: Bacteria
Description: bacterial SSU rRNA
Rfam family: Bacterial small subunit ribosomal RNA
Source: RNAcentral